CACACUAUCAUUAACUGAAUCCAUAGGUUAAUGAGGCGAACCGGGGGAACUGAAACAUCUAAGUACCCCGAGGAAAAGAAAUCAACCGAGAUUCCCCCAGUAGCGGCGAGCGAACGGGGAGGAGCCCAGAGCCUGAAUCAGUGUGUGUGUUAGUGGAAGCGUCUGGAAAGGCGCGCGAUACAGGGUGACAGCCCCGUACACAAAAAUGCACAUGCUGUGAGCUCGAUGAGUAGGGCGGGACACGUGGUAUCCUGUCUGAAUAUGGGGGGACCAUCCUCCAAGGCUAAAUACUCCUGACUGACCGAUAGUGAACCAGUACCGUGAGGGAAAGGCGAAAAGAACCCCGGCGAGGGGAGUGAAAAAGAACCUGAAACCGUGUACGUACAAGCAGUGGGAGCCUCUUAAUGGGGUGACUGCGUACCUUUUGUAUAAUGGGUCAGCGACUUAUAUUCUGUAGCAAGGUUAACCGAAUAGGGGAGCCGAAGGGAAACCGAGUCUUAACUGGGCGUUAAGUUGCAGGGUAUAGACCCGAAACCCGGUGAUCUAGCCAUGGGCAGGUUGAAGGUUGGGUAACACUAACUGGAGGACCGAACCGACUAAUGUUGAAAAAUUAGCGGAUGACUUGUGGCUGGGGGUGAAAGGCCAAUCAAACCGGGAGAUAGCUGGUUCUCCCCGAAAGCUAUUUAGGUAGCGCCUCGUGAAUUCAUCUCCGGGGGUAGAGCACUGUUUCGGCAAGGGGGUCAUCCCGACUUACCAACCCGAUGCAAACUGCGAAUACCGGAGAAUGUUAUCACGGGAGACACACGGCGGGUGCUAACGUCCGUCGUGAAGAGGGAAACAACCCAGACCGCCAGCUAAGGUCCCAAAGUCAUGGUUAAGUGGGAAACGAUGUGGGAAGGCCCAGACAGCCAGGAUGUUGGCUUAGAAGCAGCCAUCAUUUAAAGAAAGCGUAAUAGCUCACUGGUCGAGUCGGCCUGCGCGGAAGAUGUAACGGGGCUAAACCAUGCACCGAAGCUGCGGCAGCGACACUAUGUGUUGUUGGGUAGGGGAGCGUUCUGUAAGCCUGUGAAGGUGGCCUGUGAGGGUUGCUGGAGGUAUCAGAAGUGCGAAUGCUGACAUAAGUAACGAUAAAGCGGGUGAAAAGCCCGCUCGCCGGAAGACCAAGGGUUCCUGUCCAACGUUAAUCGGGGCAGGGUGAGUCGACCCCUAAGGCGAGGCCGAAAGGCGUAGUCGAUGGGAAACAGGUUAAUAUUCCUGUACUUGGUGUUACUGCGAAGGGGGGACGGAGAAGGCUAUGUUGGCCGGGCGACGGUUGUCCCGGUUUAAGCGUGUAGGCUGGUUUUCCAGGCAAAUCCGGAAAACCAAGGCUGAGGCGUGAUGACGAGGCACUACGGUGCUGAAGUGACAAAUGCCCUGCUUCCAGGAAAAGCCUCUAAGCAUCAGGUAACAUCAAAUCGUACCCCAAACCGACACAGGUGGUCAGGUAGAGAAUACCAAGGCGCUUGAGAGAACUCGGGUGAAGGAACUAGGCAAAAUGGUGCCGUAACUUCGGGAGAAGGCACGCUGAUAUGUAGGUGAAGCGACUUGCUCGUGGAGCUGAAAUCAGUCGAAGAUACCAGCUGGCUGCAACUGUUUAUUAAAAACACAGCACUGUGCAAACACGAAAGUGGACGUAUACGGUGUGACGCCUGCCCGGUGCCGGAAGGUUAAUUGAUGGGGUUAGCGGUAACGCGAAGCUCUUGAUCGAAGCCCCGGUAAACGGCGGCCGUAACUAUAACGGUCCUAAGGUAGCGAAAUUCCUUGUCGGGUAAGUUCCGACCUGCACGAAUGGCGUAAUGAUGGCCAGGCUGUCUCCACCCGAGACUCAGUGAAAUUGAACUCGCUGUGAAGAUGCAGUGUACCCGCGGCAAGACGGAAAGACCCCGUGAACCUUUACUAUAGCUUGACACUGAACAUUGAGCCUUGAUGUGUAGGAUAGGUGGGAGGCUUUGAAGUGUGGACGCCAGUCUGCAUGGAGCCGACCUUGAAAUACCACCCUUUAAUGUUUGAUGUUCUAACGUUGGCCCCUAAUCGGGGUUGCGGACAGUGUCUGGUGGGUAGUUUGACUGGGGCGGUCUCCUCCUAAAGAGUAACGGAGGAGCACGAAGGUUGGCUAAUCCUGGUCGGACAUCAGGAGGUUAGUGCAAUGGCAUAAGCCAGCUUGACUGCGAGCGUGACGGCGCGAGCAGGUGCGAAAGCAGGUCAUAGUGAUCCGGUGGUUCUGAAUGGAAGGGCCAUCGCUCAACGGAUAAAAGGUACUCCGGGGAUAACAGGCUGAUACCGCCCAAGAGUUCAUAUCGACGGCGGUGUUUGGCACCUCGAUGUCGGCUCAUCACAUCCUGGGGCUGAAGUAGGUCCCAAGGGUAUGGCUGUUCGCCAUUUAAAGUGGUACGCGAGCUGGGUUUAGAACGUCGUGAGACAGUUCGGUCCCUAUCUGCCGUGGGCGCUGGAGAACUGAGGGGGGCUGCUCCUAGUACGAGAGGACCGGAGUGGACGCAUCACUGGUGUUCGGGUUGUCAUGCCAAUGGCACUGCCCGGUAGCUAAAUGCGGAAGAGAUAAGUGCUGAAAGCAUCUAAGCACGAAACUUGCCCCGAGAUGAGUUCUCCCUGAGACUUAGAGUCUCCUGAAGGAACGUUGAAGACGACGACGUUGAUAGGCCGGGUGUGUAAGCGCAGCGAUGCGUUGAGCUAACCGGUACUAAUGAACCGUGAGGCUUAACCUUACAACGCCGAAG
This 2774-nucleotide ribosomal RNA is filed under the name Escherichia coli. Its description in RNAcentral is "bacterial LSU rRNA". It matches the Rfam family "Bacterial large subunit ribosomal RNA". Lineage: Bacteria; Pseudomonadati; Pseudomonadota; Gammaproteobacteria; Enterobacterales; Enterobacteriaceae. The record is from RNAcentral.